AGAACGAACGCUGGCGGCAUGCCUAAUACAUGCAAGUCGAACGAACUCUUCGGAGUUAGUGGCGCACGGGUGCGUAACGCGUGGGAAUCUGCCCCUUGGUUCGGAAUAACAGUUGGAAACGACUGCUAAUACCGGAUGAUGAACGAAAGUCCAAAGACUUAUCGCCAAGGGAUGAGCCCGCGUAGGAUUAGCUAGUUGGUGGAGGUAAAGGC
This 212-nucleotide ribosomal RNA is filed under the name uncultured soil bacterium. Its description in RNAcentral is "partial 16S ribosomal RNA". It matches the Rfam family "Bacterial small subunit ribosomal RNA", at positions 26 to 264 of the family's 1533-position model. The record is from RNAcentral.